GGCGGGCCUCCCCGCAUUCAAUUGCUGUGAAUCUGGUCAGGUCGGGAACGAAGCAGCCAUAACAGUGUUGUUGAAGUGCCGGGGGUCGGGCUCGCCACC
RNAcentral lists this signal recognition particle RNA (99 nucleotides) under Betaproteobacteria bacterium. Its description in RNAcentral is "signal recognition particle sRNA small type". It matches the Rfam family "Bacterial small signal recognition particle RNA". From Rfam's summary of the family: The signal recognition particle (SRP) is a universally conserved ribonucleoprotein involved in the co-translational targeting of proteins to membranes. Archaeal SRP consists of a 7S RNA and homologues of the eukaryotic SRP19 and SRP54 proteins. In most bacteria, the SRP consists of a 4.5S RNA and the Ffh protein (a homologue of the eukaryotic SRP54 protein). The record is from RNAcentral. Lineage: Bacteria; Pseudomonadati; Pseudomonadota; Betaproteobacteria.